This 421-nucleotide ribosomal RNA is filed under the name Heliomaster constantii (plain-capped startthroat). RNAcentral describes it as "partial 12S ribosomal RNA". It matches the Rfam family "Bacterial small subunit ribosomal RNA", at positions 794 to 1411 of the family's 1533-position model. Lineage: Eukaryota; Metazoa; Chordata; Aves; Apodiformes; Trochilidae. The record is from RNAcentral.
ACGUCGCCUUAAUUCUUGACACUUCCUUGACCAAAGUGUCCGCCCGAGAACUACGAGCACAAACGCUUAAAACUCUAAGGACUUGGCGGUGCCUCAAACCCACCUAGAGGAGCCUGUUCUAUAAUCGAUAACCCACGCUUCACCCGACCGCUCUUCGCAUACUCAGCCUACAUACCGCCGUUGUCAGUCCACCUAUCUUGAAAGAACAACAGUGAACUCAAUAGCCCUAACCACGCUAAAAAGACAGGUCAAGGUAUAGCCUAUAGAGCGGAAGAAAUGGGCUACAUUUUCUAACUUAGAAAACUACGAAAGGGGGCAUGAAAUUUCCCCCCAGAAGGAGGAUUUAGCAGUAAAGUUGGAUCAUAGUGCCAUCUUAAAUCUGGCCCCGGGGCACGUACAUACUGCCAGUCACCACCCUAGC